AUAUUUUUUUUCCAAAAAAAAAAAAAAAAUAUAACAUCUUCGAAAUUAAGUACAAGAAAACAUCUAGAAAAAAGAAAUAAAAAUUACCCAGACUUAUGUCUAGAGCAAUCAAAUGGAAUAUGUACAUUGAUGAAGGUCAAUUCCUUAAAUAAGAAAUAUAAAUUAAAGACAGAGGUAAAAAGAAAAAAAAAAAACUUGAUCUGUUUCUAGAGUUAGCAAGGCUCCUGAAAUUCUGCAGAUGUCUAAGUUGUCUCAACUUGAGCCAAUGUUCACCUCCACAAGCAUCCUAAAGUUAGUUGCUUGUCACUAGCUUUUCCAACCCAAUGCAAGCCAAAAUUUUGCAUGUAUGCCUUGGCACUUCAUGCAGUAGUAUCUUACAAGACUUGAAAGCACCUUCGGACUGAAUAUAUCAUCUCCACUUACCAUUUGUCUAAUUUUAUGUCCAAAUUAAACCAGCUGAACAUGAUGAUAUACACAGGAAAUGCAGCUAACUGAAAUCAAGCAAUCCUGUCUGCCAAGCAAAAUGCUAACUUGAACUGCUCCCCUAUGGUUGCAGAAGAGAUAAAUCAAAUCAUCUGUAACAGCAGUAUGUGCAUCAGAAACUGACAUAGCUAAGAGAACUGCUACACAGGAAUAUUAUCCAGGGGAUACCCAUCAAAGUCAAACUCAUUUUCAGCUGGUGCUACACCUCCCUGCUGUUGUUUUAGAAGUGCACUCAUGAGAUCUUCCUGGCCAAACUGCUCAGGGAAGAGGUUAGUCUCACAGCUUGCAUCAGGAACAAAUUCAGAUUUAACCCUCACUGAAUUAUCUGUGAAAAAAGUGUUAAUAGGUCCAACAUUCUGCGCAUUCACAUGAUCAGUUGUAUCCCCAGCUGUAAACAUGGGUUUUCCUACAGCAGAUAUAUUCCUGUUCUGUCCGGUCCUCUGGGUAGAAGAAAACCCUUGAUGAGAUAAAACUGAUGUCCCAACAUCAAGAUUGCUUUGCAGAGAGUUGUUUUGAUGAGAGUCAUUAAAGGUCAUGCCUACAUUAUGUAAUUCCCAAUCAUGUGAUUUGUGCUGAUUCAAAUCACUAAAAAUAUCAUAACUUGGCAUGAAUCCAACGGAUCCUUUUAUUUCUGAAUUAACCUCUUCUUGAAAUGUCCCUUUAGAUGUGAGCCCGGAUAUCACUGGACCACUUCCCAGAGGAAAACUAUUACCUGAUAAUUCUGCUGUGCUGUUCAAGGGGAAAUUCAACAUUGAAGAUGAAUGUGAAACUGGAUUAUAUCUGGUCCCUCUACCAUUUUCAGCUAGACAAUUUCUUGCUAAGACUCCACCAACAACUGUAUUAGAUAGAACAGGCUGUCCCAUGGAUGAUGUAAGAGUAGGAACAUGGCUGCCGGUGGAUUCAUUUAGUAUCUGACCCCUGGCCUGUGAUUGAUUCAUCUGCAUCAGCAAUGAAUCGCCCUGCCCACCCUGGCCACCAUGGGCAUUGACUUGCAUAUUCAUGCUCCCCAGAGAUUGUGCUGAAUGGUGCAAAUUUGCAAGCUGCUUUGGCUCCAUGGUGGUUGGGAUUCCAUGAAGUAAGUUCAUUGGCUUGCUACUGCUUAACUGUUGUUGUCCCUCUCCAAAUCUUAAUUUUGGAUUUUCAAAGCUGAAAAGGUUCCUUUGAUCAACAAUGGGCAUGGGCAUUCUAGAUUUUACUGCUGNCAAGCCCAGCUGCUUGAAGUGUGGCAAGGCUUUGUGCUGGAAGCUGACCAGUAGCAGCAAGGGUUUGAAGGUCAAGUCCAUUGAGCGAGGACAGUGGCCCAUAAGUUGCAUCUUGGGGACUAAUAAAACUGUUGGUCAAAUUGUUCUGGUGUUGUGAAACCCCACUCAAUCUUCUGAGAUACAAACGAUAUUUCUGGAGAUGGCUAGCAACAUUUUCUCUGGUGAGCCCAGGAACAUUCAUCAACUCUAGAAUCUUCUUAGGAACAGCCUUGUCAAUGCCUAGUUGAUUAACGGCUGCAACAAACUGUUGGUGGAGUUCAACUGACCAAACCACUCUUGGCUUCUUUAAUGUGGAUGUGUCAUCCCUUUCCUCUGCUUCUUCUUCCUCGUCUUUCCUCUUUUUCGAGUUUCUCCAAUUCCCUUCAUUGGCUGAAGAUGAGUAAUCUGCAUCCUCUGAUUGUUUCUGCUGUCUAUCUCCUUCUUCCACACUUCCUGAUUGCUCAAAGUCCUUCCACUCAUUCUUUUUCUUCCGAACCACAUGCUGCCAUAUGUUCUUCAGUGCCUCUAUGCGAACUGGUUUAAUAAGGUAAUCACAAGCACCAUGGGUGACCCCCUUCAUAACAACAUUUUUCCCAUCAUCCGCUGACAUCAUGAUAACAGGCAGAUCCAUCUCUAGCCCAAUGUGUUCAAGAAGUUUAAAUCCAUCCAUGUCUGGCAUGUGAACAUCA
This 2413-nucleotide unclassified non-coding RNA is filed under the name Hevea brasiliensis (rubber tree). Lineage: Eukaryota; Viridiplantae; Streptophyta; Magnoliopsida; Malpighiales; Euphorbiaceae. The record is from RNAcentral.